AUAUUCAUUAAGACCUUUCAAUGGGUCCUCCCCACCGACAGCUUGGGACCAUUUUUUGACGAUGUAGUACAUCCAAAUUACUGUACCAAACUUUAAUACUGAAAAAUGAUGCAGUACAUCAAAACGCAUAUAGAACACUAUUUCAAACUUAGUCCAGAUUUCCAAUAUUCCCACAUUGCUUGCCAACAACUGCACCAUGCAUUUUACAUUGUAUCAUGUAGAUACUUGCACUACAGUAUGUAGAGGAAAAUAAGCUCACCAAAAUAAAGUUCAUGUUUUUAAGGGUAAUAACACCCAUGUCAUGUUGCUCAAAACGUGACAGACAUGUCUUCUUUCUGAGUUUGUUCCAGUCACACAGCUGUGGUUCAGAGGUCAGAAGGAUCACACAAACCCAUGAUGGACCCCAGCUUUCCUUCUCACACUAUGCAGUGAAGCAGAUGGUCCAGCUCAUAUUCUGCACAGAGCAGCCAGAUACAAUCUGCUGUUUCACGUCAUCAUGACAGUGUUUUCCAAAUGGAUGUGUGGCCCAAUCUCGACUGUAAACACAGCUCAUGCUGAGGAGAAAAAAAACUAGACUUCCUAUCACCUGCUCGGGCUCUAUUGACUGAGAGACAGCAGUAAACAAACUCAUCUGAAAUCAUCAGAGCGGCUCUCACAAACACAGACAUUCAAACAAACACAUACAGUCCAAUAUGUAUGGCAAAGAUUCAAAAGCUGAAAUGGUUUUGACGUUGAUGAAACAACGGUCAAACUUCCCCAAAACUUCCGAUCUGUUGUUGACACUUUAGUUCUUCCCAUCAAAACUUUGUUUUGUUUAAAAUCCUGAGCAAUACAUUCUGACCACCAAUAAUAAAUAAUAUAUUCCUGGA
Non-coding RNA from Misgurnus anguillicaudatus (oriental weatherfish), 869 nucleotides. Lineage: Eukaryota; Metazoa; Chordata; Actinopteri; Cypriniformes; Cobitidae. The record is from RefSeq and is a predicted model, not a curated record.